This 1235-nucleotide long non-coding RNA is filed under the name Heterocephalus glaber (naked mole-rat). RNAcentral describes it as "lncRNA (ENSHGLG00100045592.1)". The record is from RNAcentral. Lineage: Eukaryota; Metazoa; Chordata; Mammalia; Rodentia; Bathyergidae.
AGCCCUCACUGCCCCUCUUUAUAGGCAGUCAAAGGAUUGAUCAGCCUCUGACACAGCUAAAACUUCAGAUCCCACCUAUUGCUGACUCUAUUCCCAAGAGGACAGGACUGCAGGAACAGGGAGGACUGCAGGAACAGGGAUUCUUGCAGAACCCAUUGUGAGAUUCUAAGCACUGAGGAAGUUAGUCCUGAGCCGACCAAACCCUCAACCUUGGAGAACUGGGAGAAGGCGAGGACCCCUCCUCAGAUGUUUGCAGUACACAAUGAUCACGUUCAUCGUGGGGAGCUGAUACAUCCCAUGGUUGACGUCUGAAACUGAAGGUACCUGAAAGAAGAUGAGGACCCCAAAACAGAAAAUCAUUUACCACAUCAGUCCAAGAAACAUGGGGUUGUUACCCCUGUCCAGAGAAUUCAGAGACCAUCAGACAUCACCAGUGUUGACUUCAGUGAACUGUUCUAGAAGUAACAAGAGUAAGACUCAGGCAUUGGCUCCACCAAUCAGAAGAGCACAUGGAAGACUGAAAGAUCUCCAAUUGGAGUGAAUGAAACAGGCACUGAGGGCUCCUCAACUGGCCACCGCAGAGACGGCAGAAGCAACUGGCUUUCAGUAGCAGCUGUGGUCUGGAGAUUGGAUUCCUGUUAGAGGCACAACCCUGGUGCCGGUAGCAACAGCAAUUGCAGCAACACUGAGUUCUUGACAUUCAGUUUAGUACAACCCGGACCUUCUAAGUACGUCGUGGCAACAGCUUCCCUAUUAAGCCAAUGUUGUGGUUAGUGUGGGCAGUGUACCUGCAGGUUUAGCCUCCAGCCAGUUGUCCAGCCUCCCAUAGUUCUGUGUUCCCUCUAAUAAACUUGUAAUAAACUUUCUUUUGCUUAAAAAUGAAUCCUAGUGCUUGCAAGUGUCACUAGCAAAAUAGACAAGCAGGAAUCAGAGAAUUAGACUGAAAAACAGCUUUUUUGUUCCCUACCCCAUUCCCUGUUCCAACAAUCCUAUAAGUCCCUAGAUGAAAGUCCUCUUAUACAAGUCCUUCAGUCCCCUUCAGUCACAAGAAUCAUCUCACUUUAGAAACUAAUUUUUCCAGCUCAAUAUAAUAAUCAAAAUUCUGGAAUCUAUUUUAAGUGAAAGCUUCUUUCCUCUCCAGCUUGAAUUGAUUUCACACAGAAGUAUUUAUCUGGGUAGUGGCCCAUUUCUCUCUCUUUGCCCGAUGAGGGUUUCUCUUCCCCUCUCACCAGGCC